UGGAACGUCCAAUGGAAGGUCGAGAGCGACUUUGACCCGAGGAUAUUUUUGCGAGGGAAUGUAAAGAAAAUGGACAGGUGCGAGCUUCGACGGUCUUUUCUCUCCGUAGAAGAAUUUUCUUGGAAGAA
RNAcentral lists this long non-coding RNA (128 nucleotides) under Polistes fuscatus (common paper wasp). RNAcentral describes it as "uncharacterized LOC122518970". The record is from RNAcentral. Lineage: Eukaryota; Metazoa; Arthropoda; Insecta; Hymenoptera; Vespidae.